CAUGCUUUAACAAUUCAAGCAACUUAUUUACAUUUUGACAGAACUCCAGCGGCAAAAAGAAGAUUCCUCCGAGAAAACUGCUAUCAGAAUAAGAUGCAACGAACAUAUUAAAGCACUGGGAAAUAUAUCAUUAUGUUCAGUAAAUAUCGCCAUCAACAAACCAAAAGAAGGCCACAACCAUAAGCAUGUGAGCUCGUUUGAUAAGGAAAAACUUACAUUUCUUCAGUCCUCGUCACUUUUGUGCUUGUGGUUACAUCCCAUAUUUUCACAGUACAAUCAGCAGAACCAGAUGCAAGCAGUGAACCUUCACAACUGAAAAGAAAAGCGAGAAUUGUUUGAAAUUAUAUCAGCAAUCCAACUAUCAUUAGUUUUGUUAGAACUAUUCACACAAACACCCAGUUCUCCAAGCACAUUCAGAAGCAACAAAGGAUUUGCACCUGAAAGCUAGUGUCCAUACACAUGAAUUGUGGCCCAUCAAAGGCGAAACACAGCGGCCACUUGAAAGGUCCCACAUCAUAAUUGUGCCAUCUUCAUCGGCAGAUGCCAUAUACCUACCAUCAGGUGACAUUGCCAGUGAUAAAAUCAUACUCCUAUGACCAAUGAAAAUCCUGACACACUCCCCACUCUGUACAUCCCACAGUCGAACUGUUUUGUCACUGGAACCAGUCGCAAUGUAGUUGCAGUUGGCAUGCCAUUGUACACACUGAAAUAGAUCAUCCAAUUCAAUGUCACUCAUUGUUCAGAACUAGAAAACACAUAAAGUAAUAAAUCUUUAUCAUCUCAUACCA
Hevea brasiliensis (rubber tree) is the source of this 788-nucleotide long non-coding RNA. RefSeq lists it as uncharacterized. The transcript has 2 exons. Lineage: Eukaryota; Viridiplantae; Streptophyta; Magnoliopsida; Malpighiales; Euphorbiaceae. The record is from RefSeq and is a predicted model, not a curated record.